This 637-nucleotide ribosomal RNA is filed under the name uncultured bacterium. RNAcentral describes it as "bacterial SSU rRNA". It matches the Rfam family "Bacterial small subunit ribosomal RNA", at positions 202 to 839 of the family's 1533-position model. The record is from RNAcentral.
GAAAACUCCGGUGGUAAUGGAUGGGCAUGCGUUGUAUUAGUUAGUUGGUGGGGUAACGGCUCACCAAGACGACGAUACAUAGGGGGACUGAGAGGUUAACCCCCCACAUUGGUACUGAGACACGGACCAAACUCCUACGGGAGGCAGCAGUGAGGAAUAUUGGUCAAUGGACGCAAGUCUGAACCAGCCAUGCCGCGUGCAGGAAGACGGCUCUAUGAGUUGUAAACUGCUUUUGUACGAGGGUAAACGCAGAUACGCGUAUCUGUCUGAAAGUAUCGUACGAAUAAGGAUCGGCUAACUCCGUGCCAGCAGCCGCGGUAAUACGGAGGAUUCAAGCGUUGUCCGGAUUUAUUGGGUUUAAAGGGUGCGUAGGCGGUCGGAUAAGUUAGAGGUGAAAUCCCGGGGCUCAACUUCGGAAUUGCCUCUGAUACUGUUCGGCUAGAGAGUAGUUGCGGUAGGCGGAAUGUAUGGUGUAGCGGUGAAAUGCUUAGAGAUCAUACAGAACACCGAUUGCGAAGGCAGCUUACCAAGCUACUUCUGACGUUGAGGCACGAAAGCGUGGGGAGCAAACAGGAUUAGAUACCCUGGUAGUCCACGCAGUAAACGAUGAUAACUCGUUGUCGGCGAUACAGUGUCG